RNAcentral lists this small RNA (131 nucleotides) under Marmota monax (woodchuck). Lineage: Eukaryota; Metazoa; Chordata; Mammalia; Rodentia; Sciuridae. The record is from RNAcentral.
GCCGGGUGCAGUGGUGCAUGCCUGUAAUCCCAGCAAUUCAGGAGGCUGAGAGAGGAGGAUCUUGAGCCAAGGAGGAGCCAGCCUCAGCAACUUAGCAAAGACCUAGGUAACUUAGCAAGACCCUGUCUCAA